RNAcentral lists this ribosomal RNA (468 nucleotides) under uncultured bacterium. RNAcentral's name for it is "partial 16S ribosomal RNA". It matches the Rfam family "Bacterial small subunit ribosomal RNA", at positions 28 to 507 of the family's 1533-position model. The record is from RNAcentral.
GACGAACGCUGGCGGCGUGCUUAACACAUGCAAGUCGAACGGAAAGGCCCUGCUUUUGUGGGGUGCUCGAGUGGCGAACGGGUGAGUAACACGUGAGUAACCUGCCCUUGACUUUGGGAUAACUUCAGGAAACUGGGGCUAAUACCGGAUAGGAGCUCCUGCUGCAUGGUGGGGGUUGGAAAGUUUCGGCGGUUGGGGAUGGACUCGCGGCUUAUCAGCUUGUUGGUGGGGUAGUGGCUUACCAAGGCUUUGACGGGUAGCCGGCCUGAGAGGGUGACCGGCCACAUUGGGACUGAGAUACGGCCCAGACUCCUACGGGAGGCAGCAGUGGGGAAUAUUGUACAAUGGGCGGAAGCCUGAUGCAGCAACGCCGCGUGCAGGAUGACGGCCUUCGGGUUGUAAACCGCUUUCGCCUGUGACGAAGCGUGAGUGACGGUAAUGGGUAAAGAAGCACCGGCUAACUACGUG